CCUACGGGUGGCAGCAGUGAGGAAUAUUGGUCAAUGGCCGGAAGGCUGAACCAGCCAUGCCGCGUGAAGGUCAGUGCCCUAUGGGCGUUAAACUUCUUUUGUGCGGGAGCAAUAAUGGUCACGUGUGGCCAGACGAGAGUACCGUACGAAUAAGCAUCGGCUAACUCCGGGCCAGCAGCCGCGGGAAUACGGGGAAUGCAAGCGUUUUCCGGGUUUAUUGGGUUUAAAGGGUGCGUAGGCUGUGAGGUAAGUCAGCGGUGAAAUGCCCCCGCUCAACGGGGUGCAGUGCCAUUGAUACUGGCUUGCUUGAAUGCGCAUGCCGUGGGAGGAAUGUGUGGUGUAGCGGUGAAAUGCAUAGAUAUCACACAGAACACCGAUUGCGAAGGCAUCUCACGAAUCCGCGAUUGACGCUGAUGCACGAAAGCGUGGGUAUCAAACAGGAUUAGAUACCCGAGUAGUC
RNAcentral lists this ribosomal RNA (460 nucleotides) under uncultured bacterium. RNAcentral's name for it is "partial 16S ribosomal RNA". It matches the Rfam family "Bacterial small subunit ribosomal RNA", at positions 338 to 795 of the family's 1533-position model. The record is from RNAcentral.